AUGCAUACUACUUUGCUUCCCUGCCCCUUUUCUCAGCAUUGUCUUAACAGAAGAACUAGAAAAGGAAAUCAGUUCAGAUAUGUACCCCAUGUGAACCUAACAGGAUGCAAGAAGCCAUGUGAGCUGCUCUUUUCAAACCCACAGGAACCCCUCCUCUACCAUGUCCUGAGAACAAAGCCUCCUCCAGUCAUGUUGAUGAGAUGGAUCUUGUUGUACAGCCUUCUAGUAAGGCUGGCUCAGAGCAACAAUCAAGAUUCUGAAAACUCUGCAAACAUCACCACACCUCCUGUAAAAAUUUUAGAUACCUCUACUAAGUCAAAAGAACAUGGAAAAAACAAGACAUGGCACAUUAUUUAUGCUUCAGUACCCGUGGGUCUAUGUUGUCCAUUCAUCUUCAUAUGCGUGUUUUGGAGUCUAAGGAGGUACUAUGGAACUCUUACACAGGUGCCAUGCUCUAAGUCAAGAGGGCAUCCUGGAGUCCCCCACAUCUUAUUAAGUGAAGCAAUCAAUUAUUUGUUGUUUCAUGGGAUGGCUUAA
RNAcentral lists this long non-coding RNA (537 nucleotides) under Phasianus colchicus (ring-necked pheasant). RNAcentral's name for it is "lncRNA (ENSPCLG00000004176.1)". The record is from RNAcentral. Lineage: Eukaryota; Metazoa; Chordata; Aves; Galliformes; Phasianidae.